UUGGUGACUGGGAGCAUAUCCUUAGUAGAGCUCCAAUGUGGACUAGGGGUGGCAUUUGCCUACUAAUACCACGGAAUAAACCAUCGUGCCGAGUUUGCAUCCUUUCUAGCCAACUCCUUUACAUUUUGCAUUUCUUACUUGCAACUUGAGUGCCUUUACUUUCUAGAGUAGUAUCUUGUUAGGAUUAACUCUUUGUUGGUAGGAAGUUUAACUAGAUGGAUCUAUGCACAUAUAGAUAGUAUGAUCUAUUUAUAUUUAAUUGCAAGUAGUGGAAUCCAUAGGCUAUGGAUUUUAAAUUUGCCUAAUUCACCCCCUUCCCC
RNAcentral lists this long non-coding RNA (320 nucleotides) under Setaria viridis. Its description in RNAcentral is "long non-coding RNA (SVIR_LNC009456)". The record is from RNAcentral. Lineage: Eukaryota; Viridiplantae; Streptophyta; Magnoliopsida; Poales; Poaceae.